CUUUGUAGCGCGAAGGCGGUGCCUAGCUAAGACGUGUUGGUCACUGGAACUGCCUUCUCGUCGGCUGUUAACGACGCACGCAAAAACGAUGGUUCAGUGAGAGUCAUAUGACAUCUGUUACCCCUUGACUCCACAAUUACCUCCUAUGGGAAAUGUUGUGGGUCAUCUCCAGUCUUGGGCUCCCCCAAUAUCCACCAGCAUCCUCUCUCAGCAGUAAAGUUUCUCGGGGGAUUGAUCUUGGGAAAAUCUGCUGGGAUGUCCACUCCUGGGAAGACUGGCAGCCCUCUUCAUUUUCUUUCAAGAUAACUGCCAAUCAAACACCAGAUUAUUUAUUAUGUUCUGAUAAGUAAAUCAGAACAUAAUAGAACUAACAGAGGGUGUAAUUUCUUUUUACUAUUACUGUAUUUAUCUCUGGACCCCAAACCAAAUUCUUAGUGUUAUAGUGUUUUAAAGCAAUACCCCUAUUUAUGAAUUACACUGUACAUAAACAAAUUCUAUCCUUUGGAGAGAUGAGACUGUUCUCAACCAGUGAUAUGUGAAGAAAAAGACGAAGGAGGCUCAAUAAUAAUUUUUUGUAUGUUAAGAGAUCCAGGUAAGGAAAUCCCAGAAAGUUGAUUCUAGUCAUCAGGACAAAGCGUUUUCUCUGGCAGAAACAUUUCAUCACUCAUCACUCUUUUCAGUCCUUGGAAGAUUGCAAAAUGCUACAACAAUAAUCAAGUGCUAAUGACCUCUGCCUUGCAUGGGGCAUGUUUGGUACAAAAAAACAAAAAGAAAAGAUCCACGUACAAAAAUCAGCAAUGACGAGAAACUCAAACAGCAAGAAGGGUGUCAAACAGGAGCAAGAAUUUGAUGUUUUGUGUGAUUACUCACUUCUUUGAUGUUGCAAAUUACAAACUCCUAGAUUCAUUCUGACAGCAAAGUACUUAACCAAGCACAGAAAUCUGUAAUAAAAUCAGAUUUACAAAUGUCUAAAUAAUAAUCAUGUUUAUUACCCACAAUAGGCAAGAACUCACAAAAAAGAAAAAUAAACUAGAAGACAUAUUCCUGGUUUCCCGGGAGAGUAUGAGAAACAGAAGCUACACAUUUAUUGUCACACCCAGGGGUAUAUUUCUGCAUGUGGUUUUAGAUCACUCACUGACAUUUUACUUCCAUCAUUACAAUCCAGAUUUGAUGCCCCUCGUGCAGUACCUCGCCACACCACCUAAAUCUCAACCCUCCCCAUCUCCACGCUGCUCUCUCCAGUGUUGGGUAAACAAGGCGGAACCCUUGUCAGCGUGGCUAAGCUGGUGGCUCAUGACAGAACGCUGAAUGAGUGAUUUAAGGUUUCAAGUGAGCAGCUUUCACAGUUAAUUAACCUGCUGAUGGCUGUGCAUGUGUGGAGUAGAGCAAGGGAUUCAUGGGAGGAAGCCCUCUUCAGUUGCCUUGCCAUUUCAAGUUAAGACAGCCACGCACAUUACUGUGACACUGGGCCUAAAGUCAUCAAGCCGAGUGAUCGCUCAUUUGUUUCUGUGGUAGCUGCUUGUUCUGCAGGUUUAGCCUUGUCUUCUCUCUUCACCUUCAAAACAUAAGACAAGGGAUUAAACAGGAACAUGGCUAUCUUUCGACGCCAAGCUUAUAGGACAUAAAGAGGAGACAAAAUAAACGUACAUUGUAAAUAUGAUUUUCAGACGACUGCAAGUCUAGAGGGCUAUAAUGAUAUACAGUUUGCGAAACAGUCUAUACAGUCUCAUUCAUUUUACUCUAAAGUCUGACAAAAAGGGCAAGAACAAAUGCCAAGUUCCAACUCAAUAAUUAUGAAAACCCUUAGCUACUCACUUAGGAAGCUUCCAGAAGGACACCAAAAUACCAACAACUACAUACUUCACUGAUUUAAAUGUUCAGAAAGUUAACUGUAAAGCUGCAUUUAAAUAUGACCCAAUCAUCCACUGUGGGUUUCCAAAAUAUUUGCCAUUCAUUUGGUGAGGUCAUGGACUAAAUGUGUGCCUGAUCUGGCCUGGGUCACUGCAGUUUGGGAAAAAAAAUACUCACACUUUCAAUGUGGAGCCUGAACACCCAUCAGUGUUUUCACACCCACCCCAGGUUUCUUCAGAAACUUGAUCUGUGGUGUGCUGAAAGCUGGGUUUUCACCUGUUAGCAGAUCAACCACUAGUUUCUGGGGUCACUGUGUAUUUUGCUCUGGUUUGCCACCCAGGCAGCAUUGCAUUUCAGUGGGAGGACAGUGUGUGUGAUUCAUGCCUUGAUAAUUACAGUGCAUGUCCUCUUAUUAUUAGCAGCUGACUACCGGUAUUCAAACAGAUGCUAUGUGCUUUAAGAAGGAUUUGUGCUUUUCUGUAGAUGGACUGUGACAUGUGGACAUGAGUUUAUAUUUUAAUUGCAUUUUGAUGCAAUACUUAUAACUAAUCUUGAUUCCCAAAAGAUAAAUAUAAAUACCAUUUUACCAUCUUUCUAGAACAAAUACCUCUAAGUGUAAAUGGGCACUGCACUGACAAUCUACAUAAAUGCUGUAAUUGUCCCCCAAGAUAAAGCUUUCGCAUAUUCAUCUGUGUGGCAGUAAUGUAAAAUUUUACCUAAUUUACAUCAUCCUUGAGGCAGUGCAGCAAAACAAUUUCCAAGUGAGGGCAAAAGCUCUGAUGAAACCAAAUAAGAACAUGUACGUCAUUAUUGACUCUUAGCCUUUUUUAACUACUCUCCGAAGGACAAUAUAAUUGUCUACAUGUAUAUAGCUCUAGGUUGUAUCAGAUUGCUCUUUGAUGAGUUCAUGUAUGUAGUCUCAGUAAACUGUACAAUCAUGGAUUGACGGGUAAUCAGAAUAGCAUUUCAAAACUAAUUUCUCUAUAAUUGUAUCCAAUUAUUUAUGCUCUUUCUAAUAAGUGCAGUGACUGACAAAAUGAACAGGAGAGGAUACGUUCCAUUAAUACUAAAACAUUGGCAAAUAGAUAUAUACAACUAUGUAAUUUGUCUCUUGUAAUUAUGCAUUUUGGAUCAACUUUAACGCACUAUAAACGUGUAGAUUAUUAGCUUUCCUGUGUAAAAGGCAGUAUAUUUUAACAGGUUAAAUGUUAAGUGAAUUUUACAUGUAUACAUUGAUACAUUCAUUUCUCAAAAAUGGAUUGUGGAAAAGAAUGCCUCACUGCUGAUCUAUGGGACUCAAUGAUGCAGCUCUCUUCCAAGGCACUCUGGGAUGCAUUUAGGACAUGCAUGGAGAAAACAAUGGCGAGUGUAUUACCAGAAAAGAUAAAUCUAUCUCAUUAAUCCCUUAUUCUCCCAGCCUGGGAGACACAUUUAAGAGAACAUGCAGAAGCAGUUCUGUGUGCUAGGAUCUCUCAUGCAGAUGGCAGAGAGGGGGAGAGGAAAGGAGGAGGGGCUAUUGUGUCAAUCUGUGCAUCAUUAGACAGUGCAGUGACGGCAAGAGGUAGAGCGGGAUUACCAAGAUGUGGCGUUCACAACAAAACGAUCAGUGAUGUCUUGUCAAAGAAAAGAUGCUGUAUUCCUUCUUCUAUGAAGCAGUGCAUCCAAAUUAAAUGACUUUUUCAGCACAUUAUCAUUAAAUAUAAGAUAUAUAUAAGACAUAUUUAUAAUUGUAUUUUUUAAUGAAGAUUUUUAAGGUUGUAGCUAUUUUUAGCAUCUUUUCCUCUAAAAUGUUUUAAGCCCUUGUUCUUCUUUCUCGAAUUUAUGAAGAUUUCAAAUCACCACAAUCAGUUCAAAGUUAGUAUCAAAUGAGCUUGGCACUGAUUUUCCUUGGCAACAUUUGAAAGCUAGUGCCAGUUGUGUCUCUGCUCUCAGUGCAGGCACCUUCAGGGUAAAGAAGGUGUAAAGUCUAAAGUUCAACCAUAGUAUUUAUUUAUUGGGCUGAAAUCGCCCCAUCAAUGGUCUUCUAGUCCACAAUUCUGUUGUAUCACACGGCUACAUGUUCAAAUUACCACCAGUAAAUUCGAUUGAUUUCGGUCAAAAAUGGCAUUGAUUUUUACCCAUCUGAAAUGACCAGGGAGUCCAUAAAACAGAUAAAGAGGUCAUAACAAUUUUACCAGCCUGUAGAAUUCCACAGAAAGAUUUAAGGGGUCAUGAAAGCCUGAUGGUUAAAAAUGAAGCCUGCAAAAGGCCAACAAAAUGUACCACGGAUGCUGCAUUACAAAUAGCUCCAUCUAUGAAGCAGUCGAUAGCUGAGAAACAAAACGUACUGUUGAGUUUAUACGAGUCCAACCAUAAAGUGUUCUUUUAAGAAGAACAUAGACCCAUUUAUUUUACCUAACAGACUGAGGAAGAAGACAAAUGAAAGUAGAUGUAGCAGUGUAACACUGGACAGACAUAUGGAGUUUGCCACUGACCUUGGUGCCUUAUAAGUGAGCAAAUUUUAUUGAUUCAUUCCUCAUCCAACCACCUUGAGCAUAUUGCUAAGUUUUAGACUGACGGUGAAUGUGUUUCACUUGCUUUCUGUAAACACACCAAUGGGUCGACAACCAGGAGUGAUUGUCUAGUUGACACGAAAAGAACUAUUACUAAUUUAUGUCUCAUCUUUCCCUAGACUGGACUAACAGCUGAGGAUACCUUGUCUCAGGGCCAAGCUGGAUUUCAGUGCUGUCAACUUUUUAUUUUACUUGUCAGAAUGGAAAUGGACAUACAAGGGUUUGUUUGCCCCUCUGACGUCUUUAGCCACAUAGGCUGUGAGAGGAAAUAGACAGAGAGCAGAUUUUAAGGACCCCACACCUCUUAAUGGUAUGCUUCGUAUGAGAGUGUGGGAUUUGGAGGGCCAAGCAACUCUUCCUUGUCUUCUUCCUCCUGAGACAUCAUUUACUCUUAUAAAGAAAAAUGUGGAAGAAAAAGUGAUCGGAGCUGUAGGUGGAUAUAAAAGUCUCAGUUCUCACAGUUCUCCACCUCAGGAAAGAUGAUGUUCAAUACUGGGCUGGCAAACUGGAAAAAAAAACCUAAAGAAAAUCAUGCGACCUUCUAAAUCAGUGAAACCAGAUGUUUGGUGUUCUGGUUUUCCUUUCAAUCUUCCGGAUGUGACAGUUUAAAAGUAUAACGUGUAUUUGAUCUCUAGUAAUGUGUAAAAUCUAAUUCGGGAAGAAAUUAGUUCAAUGCAAAAUCAAAACUGAAUCAAAUGAUUACUGCCUAAACAUCGCAGUUCCUUGCCGAGAUGUAGGCCUCUGAAGGAAAACUUCCAUGUGUUUCAGUGCUGAUUUCAAAAGUCUAACCAUUUCUCUAAUGUAUAUGUUCAGCUAAGCCAAAUCCACACAAUGACAUCAGAUUAUACGUCUCAAAACCAUGAAAAUAAAUAUGUCUUUCUGCAGCCUUGGCUUUGAGGUUUGUAAGGUUGGAGGGCUGCAAUUUUUCAACAUGCAUGCAAGGUUUUGUCAUUAUUUCACUGAUUUAUCUGAAAAUAGUGACUUUCUCUGUGUAAACCACUGAAGUAUAAAUGAUAUAUUUGCAGAACAUGGGGAAGACAGCUCAGCUAAACCAUGAAGUGAGUUAUGAAACAGAAUUUAAAUUUCAAGCUAAAUAGACAUCCGCAGAUCAGCUGCACAUAUGCACUCUUUGCAUGUUUCUGAUUGUGCAGCCAUUGGUGGUAAAGUAAUACUUUCUUCAGUGUUUUAUUCUGUUUAUUUGAUAUUUCUAUUUAACAUUUUAGAAGGAAAUGGUUCAACUUGUACCCAAUACUCCUCCAGAUAGUUACUUAGUAAAUGCAGUUUCACUGAAAUAUUUGUAUUAUUUAAAUAAUGUGUUAAACUAGUGAGCAGUUGGCGUUAAUUUAUAUCCCCCUGAUUAAUCCAAGUCCAAUAAUCCUUCCUCCUUGACCUCCUGUUUUGUUCUUAACAUGCUCCUGACAGAAUUAUAUGCAUCUAUAGCUGCUAAAGAUUUUUUAUGUACUGUACAAGUAGCAACCUCUGGGUCUAGAACCCCCCUAUUGUUUCCAGUAACUUACAAACACUUCUGUAGAAGUUUUCAUGCAAUUUUUAUGACUUGCAGUGUGGUUACAUGUACUGACAGACCAUCCAAAAAAUUAAUAAAAUUCUACAUUUUAUUUUGAUGUAA
Molecule: long non-coding RNA, 6030 nt
Organism: Oreochromis niloticus (Nile tilapia)
Lineage: Eukaryota; Metazoa; Chordata; Actinopteri; Cichliformes; Cichlidae
Exons: 3
Source: RefSeq, a predicted model, not a curated record